UUCUAUUUUUUCUCUCUUUUAGUUUUUCUCUCAAUUUUUUUUCUCAAUUUCUCGGCAUUAUUUUCUUUUUUUCUAUUUUCUCUUUUAUCUUUUUUGCAGCGUUUUUCCUCAAUUUUUUUCCAAUUUUUCUUUUUUCAUUUUUCUUAUUUUUUCUCAAUUUUAUAUUUUCCUUUUUCAAUUUUUAAUUUUUUUUCUCUUUCCUUUUUGCCUCUUUUUCCUCUAUUUUCUUCUCUUUUUUCCUCUAUUUUUUCCUGUAUUUUCUUUUUCUCUUUUUUCCUCUAUUUUCUUCUCUUUUUUCCUCUAUUUUCUUUUUCUAUUUUUUCCUCUAUUUUUCCUCUAUUUUCUUUUUUUUUCCUCUAUUUUUUCCUGUAUUUUCUUUUUUCUCUUUCUUUCCUCUAUUUUCUCUUCCUAUUUCCUCGCCUGGUUCUUCUCCAUCUCCUCCUCGUCUGUCUCUUCCCUCCGCCGUCUCCUCGGGCUCUCUCUCCCCUCAGGCUGCUGCCGCAUCUACCGCGUCCUUUCCGCGCCGCGGAGCCUCCGGAGCGCUCCCUCAGCCCGUGCCCGGAGCUCCGGAACGGGCCCUAAAGCGGCUUUAGGGGCUGCUCUAAAGAAUGAAAGCGCUUUAGGAGCGUUCUAGAAGCAAGAAACCAGCUUUAAGAGCUGCAGCGAGGAAGAAAUCUGCUUUAGGAGCUCUUCUUCCUCCCACGAAAGCCGCUCGGAAAGGGGGGUUUCCCUGAGGCGCUCGCCCCGGCUUCUCUAACCCAGCGAAUCGCGGCGGUUUAAGCGCUGGCAAAAGAACCUGCUCCUCAAAGCAAGCAGCCGGGGAAGCUCCGGAGGCGGAAAAGUGGAGAAA
This 850-nucleotide long non-coding RNA is filed under the name Strigops habroptila (Kakapo). RNAcentral describes it as "lncRNA (ENSSHBG00005013901.1)". Lineage: Eukaryota; Metazoa; Chordata; Aves; Psittaciformes; Psittacidae. The record is from RNAcentral.